UUUGUUGCUAGUAAGAUUGCAGGCUGCAGUUCUCACUUGUGGGAUGCUGUGUACUGUGUCUCUUACUACUCGGUUGGGCUUUGUGUAGUGCUCAGAAUCUUAGCGUGGACUGGCUGAAGGGUUGCGACCUGGACCAUGUUCUUGCCUACUCUUGGCGCAACAUAACUGCUUGACCAAAUAGUUCAAUUUUACCCGUCUUGAAACACGGACCAAGGAGUCUAAUGCGUGUGCAAGUGUAAGGGUUUGACACCUGACAGCUCAACAAACGUGACUGCUGGGAUCCUUGCACCAGCAACCAACUGAUCGAUUAGGAGAUGUUUGUGUAUGAGCACACUUACUAGGACCCGAAAGGUGGUGAACUAUGCCUGAGAAGGGUGACGUCAGGGGAAACUCUGAUGGAAGCUCGUAGCGCUACUGACGUGCAAAUCGUUCGUCUGACUUGGGUAUAGGGGCGAAAGACUAAUCGAACCAUCUAGUAGCUGGUUCCCUCCGAAGUUUCCCUCAGGAUAGCUGGAGCAGAUCAGUUUUAUCAGGUAAAGCGAAUGAUUAGA
This 551-nucleotide ribosomal RNA is filed under the name Amphidinium sp. MACC 17. RNAcentral's name for it is "LSU rRNA". It matches the Rfam family "Eukaryotic large subunit ribosomal RNA", at positions 478 to 1025 of the family's 3401-position model. Lineage: Eukaryota; Dinophyceae; Amphidiniales; Amphidiniaceae. The record is from RNAcentral.